AGGGGGCCUACGUCAGUCAAUCAACACCGAGCAACGGGAGAGGGGAGCGGGGAGCAGGAGGUGGUGAGAACAUGAACCAUACCUCUGCCGGCGCCUCUGCCUCGUCCACGUCCUCUUCCUCGUCCACGUCCGCGUCCCCUGAAACCUCCGCGGAACGGCGCUCCCUCGCUCUUCACGCUGGACACUUCGUCGUGAUCGUCGCGCCACUCCCGCUCGUAUUUCUGACUGUGCCAGUCUGCGGCGAGAGAAGACACUUACACGUCAUAUAUCUGCACGAUCACCAACACUGAAGUCACAGAUCAAAGCCAAGAGACAAAAAAAAGAACUUUGGGAACUCUUUGUGACCGCAGAACAAACAUCACAGUUUCUUUUUAAGAAGAGAGGACGGAACAAAGCCAAGUCAGUCUGUGAUGUUUCUAUGAAACCAUGUAUAUUUAGAAGGUUUUAAAGCAGAAGCAACAAAUUAGAACACAGCACGAGUCAGUCAUUCAGACACAGAGUGGAAUAAAAUCCUGCAACCAAAAA
This is a long non-coding RNA of Solea senegalensis (Senegalese sole), 525 nucleotides long. RefSeq lists it as uncharacterized. Lineage: Eukaryota; Metazoa; Chordata; Actinopteri; Pleuronectiformes; Soleidae. The transcript is spliced from 2 exons. The record is from RefSeq and is a predicted model, not a curated record.